CUUGUUGGUGGGGUAACGGCCCACCAAGGCGACGACGGGUAGCUGGUCUGAGAGGACGGCCAGCCACACUGGGACUGAGACACGGCCCAGACUCCUACGGGAGGCAGCAGUGGGGAAUCUUGCGCAAUGGGCGAAAGCCUGACGCAGCGACGCCGCGUGCGGGAAGAAGGCCUUCGGGCUGUAAACCGCUUUCAGGAGGGACGAAGCCACUCGGGUUAAUAGCCCAGAGGGUGACGGUACCUCCAGAAGAAGCCCCGGCUAACUACGUGCCAGCAGCCGCGGUAAUACGUAGGGGGCUAGCGUUGUCCGGAUUUAUUGGGCGUAAAGAGCGUGUAGGCGGCCAGAUAGGUCUGCUGUGAAAACUCGAGGCUCAACCUCGAGCUGUCGGCGGAAACCAUUUGGCUAGAGUCCGGAAGAGGAAAGUGGAAUUCCUGGUGUAGCGGUGAAAUGCGCAGAUAUCAGGAAGAACACCCGUGGCGAAGGCGGCUUUCUGGGACGGUACUGACGCUGAGACGCGAAAGCGUGGGGAGCGAACAGGAUUAGAUACCCUGGUAGUCCACGCUGUAAACGAUGGGUGCUAGGUGUGGGCGGUGUCGACUCCGUCCGUGCCGAAGCUAACGCAUUAAGCACCCCGCCUGGGGAGUACGGCCGCAAGGCUAAAACUCAAAGGAAUUGACG
This 678-nucleotide ribosomal RNA is filed under the name uncultured Actinomycetes bacterium. RNAcentral's name for it is "SSU rRNA". It matches the Rfam family "Bacterial small subunit ribosomal RNA", at positions 245 to 915 of the family's 1533-position model. Lineage: Bacteria; Bacillati; Actinomycetota; Actinomycetes. The record is from RNAcentral.